Molecule: ribosomal RNA, 447 nt
Filed under: uncultured bacterium
Lineage: Bacteria
Description: bacterial SSU rRNA
Rfam family: Bacterial small subunit ribosomal RNA
Source: RNAcentral
AACGAACGCUGGCGGCAUGCCUAACACAUGCAAGUCGAACGAGACCUUCGGGUCUAGUGGCGCACGGGUGCGUAACGCGUGGGAAUCUGCCCUUGGGUUCGGAAUAACAGUUAGAAAUGACUGCUAAUACCGGAUGAUGUCUUCGGACCAAAGAUUUAUCGCCCAAGGAUGAGCCCGCGUAAGAUUAGCUAGUUGGUGAGGUAAUGGCUCACCAAGGCGACGAUCUAGCUGGUCUGAGAGGAUGAUCAGCCACACUGGGACUGAGACACGGCCCAGACUCCUACGGGAGGCAGCAGUGGGGAAUAUUGGACAAUGGGCGAAAGCCUGAUCCAGCAAUGCCGCGUGAGUGAUGAAGGCCUUAGGGUUGUAAAGCUCUUUUACCAGGGAUGAUAAUGACAGUACCUGGAGAUAAGCUCCGGCUAACUCCGUGCCAGCCGCCGCGGUAAG